Molecule: small nucleolar RNA, 205 nt
Organism: Mesoplodon densirostris (Blainville's beaked whale)
Lineage: Eukaryota; Metazoa; Chordata; Mammalia; Artiodactyla; Ziphiidae
Product: small nucleolar RNA U3
Exons: 1
Source: RefSeq, a predicted model, not a curated record
AGGUAAAAUACUUUUGGGAUCAUUUGUAUAUUUCAUUACUAGAGAGUGUGUGUAGAGAACCCGAAACCACAAGGAAGAGGUACAGCAUUCUCUCUUGAGCAUGAAGCUAGCUCUAGGUGUUGCUUCUGCAACUGCCAUUAGCCAGUGAUAAUCCUUCUUCUCUUCCUCUGGGAGAAUAAGAGUGAGAGAACACUGUCUGAGUGGU